This is a long non-coding RNA of Pogoniulus pusillus (Red-fronted tinkerbird), 681 nucleotides long. RefSeq lists it as uncharacterized. NCBI's taxonomy places the organism in Eukaryota, Metazoa, Chordata, Aves, Piciformes, Lybiidae. The record is from RefSeq and is a predicted model, not a curated record. The transcript has 4 exons.
GUCGUUCCGGCCACGCUCCGGGGCGGGACCGGCGGCAAGGGAGGCUGCACGGCGGCUGCGGACGGGCCAGCCUGUCCCGGGCAGGCUCAGUGCCCUGAGCAGACAUGGCGCCGGGCGCCUGCUGUGAGCGCUGCCCUCAGUUAAGAUGGUGCCCGCUGCCGUUCCCGCCGGCGCCUUCCCCGCGCCGGCACACCCCCGCGGCGCCGAGCGCAGCGCCUGAGGGAGCAGCGCCUGAGGGAGCAGCCCGGCUCGGGGCGCGGUGGCGGCGGAGCGCUGCUGCCGCCUGCCCCUUCUCGCUGUCCUUCUGCCUCAGCCACGGCCUGCAGGGCUGGGUACAGGGUGGAAUCGCUGCACCCCUCCUGCACAUCCCAUGCUGGCACAAGGCACCACUCCUGUUACAAGAGCACACAUCUCCAUGACAGAAGGAGGCAGUGUGCUUGGUGUGCCUGCUCUUUGUCUCCCAGAGAUGGCCAACAGCAGCAGAUCUCCUGCACACAGUGGCUUGCAGGUGUAUGGAAUCCAGAAGCUGUGCUUCUCUAUAUCGAUUCCAGGUUGGGGCAACACAGAAAAGGAAACAGAAGCCACCAAGGACAACAAACUCAAUUGAGGCUGCUGUAGAAAAUGUAAAGCUUAUGCUGUGGUGUAUUAAAUCAACACUAUAAGUGAAGUGCUGAAAGUCAU